Molecule: non-coding RNA, 2988 nt
Organism: Arachis ipaensis
Lineage: Eukaryota; Viridiplantae; Streptophyta; Magnoliopsida; Fabales; Fabaceae
Source: RefSeq, a predicted model, not a curated record
CGCCAUUUAUGGCUAUGUAUUGUGCGCCAUUAUCGCGUUGGGUGGUUCUGCCAUUGUGGACAUCGUCGUCUUCUUCAGCCGGUUUUGUUCCCCAUCACGUAAGAUUGCCAGCGUUCAGAGUUCGUGUUCCGCAUUCAGAAUAACAAUAGGGACUUAACUGAUUAGGGAAACAUGUUGAUAUUUGAAGGGUGGUGACGAAGGAGCAAGGAGGGUGAGGAGAUGGUAAAUGAAGUGGAGGGAGUGGUGAAAGGUGGUGAGGGUGCACUACAAGAAAAAUGGCCUGUCGGCAUAGUUUUUUCUUGCCACGCUUUUAAAGCGUGCCCAAAAGUGGUCUAUGGCCACGGUUUUGUGAGGGUGGCCACUUAUUUGUGAUUUGGCCACGCUUUUUUUUGCCACGCUUGAAAAGCGUACCCAUAGAGAGAAAUCGGCACGCUUUUACGAGGGUGCCACUGAUUUGAUAUUUGGCCACGCUUAAAAAGCGUGGCCAUAGAGGAAAACCAGCACGCUUGAAAAGCGUGGCUAUCCUGUGUUUAAUCUGGCACUGUACAAAAACGUACCGAUAGAGUUCCCUCCCCUAAAAUUUAGUUUUCCACCUAUUUUUUUCCACACUUUACUUUUUUUUUUUUCCUAAGAUUUCAAGUUUAACCCUAAAAGUGAUAAACUAGUUUUACAUUGUUACCAAAUUCACUUUUAACCCUAAAAUUCACUUUUAAACCCUAAACCACGUCGUCAUCUUCCUCUUCUCUUUCGCCCCCCGCCUUCGUACAUCGUUCAUCUUCAUUGCACCCAGCCUUCAUUGCCUUUGUCGUCAUCUUCAUCACUGCCCUUCAUCACACCCAGCUUUUAUCGCCUUCAUCGUCAUCUUCAUCGUUCAUUACGGUGGUCUUCCUCGAGCUUGCCGUCACCGUCAGUAGUCAUUGUCUUCCUCGACGCUGCUUUGAAAGGGUUUUGAAUGGCUUUUCCUUGAAAGGUUCAGAAAAUCCUAACCUCCAUCAUGCUGCCAUCUAUCUCACCGUCGCCACCCUUCGCGCUCAAGAUCGCAACCAGGUUCGUCAUUGUGUUAGCUAACUCGCCAUUCCUCUUGCUAUUUUGCUUGUCAUCCUUCUUGCUGUUCUGCUCGCCUCUCUUUCGCGGUUUUGCUCACCUGUCAAGGCCUUUGCCGUCGCUUCUCUCUUCGUCGGUAGCACCGCCUCUGCCUCCGUCCUCAUCCUCCGAUCUAACGGCAUUCACAAGGUAGGGUCGGGUACCCGCGGGUUAAGAGCGGGUAGGGUUAGGGUUGAGAUAUUAUCAACCCGCGGGUAGGGUAGGGUUGAGUUUAUAUAAAAAUCUCAACCUGCGGGUAGGAUUAGGGUUGGCUCCAAACCCUACCCUACCCUACCCACCCCUACUGGUUGCCAAACACCCCCUUAUGAAAUGGGUAUGGGUUGUGUUUGAAGAAGAUUGAUCAACAAAGAGAAUAUUGAUAUGGCUUAAUUUGCAAUGAAAAUGGAUGGUAUUGCUUGUAAGGUGUAUGUGACCAAGAUGCACGUGGUUUUGUAUAGUGGAAGGAAUGGUUAUAUGAUUCAGUAACUACGAAGAAUGAAUUGUUAGGGUGGUUUAUUGUUACAUGUUUAUGGUGAUGGUGAGAUGCUCUAAUUCAAAUUACAAAGAAUGACUUUUAUUAACUUAUAUAUUAUCAACUAGGAGAUAAAAUACAUAUUCUGUAUUAAGUUGUCAGAAAAGGGUUUUGUUGAUUGUAGGUUGAGUUGUGCAUUGAGUCAAAUGUGUUAUCAGGUAAUCCUGCUGAGUGAAAUACAAAACGGGCCUUAGUUUUUGUAUAUGGCUUAUUGGGUUCUAGACUUCUAGUGAUGAAAGAAGCUGUGUUACUCAGGAAUUCGAGUUAGCAAAUAUGAUUUUUACAGUUAAAGUGGGAGAAACUACGGUGUCAGAGUGUGUGUGCAUCUGUGUGUUCUUUUUUUCCCUUUAUUAUUAUUAUUUAUUUUUUCUGAGUAUGAGCUUGAAUAAUUACUGUUACAAGUAUUGAAUUUUAAAACAAUCCCUGACAACAGAGAAAAAUUGUUGUGACUUUAGAAAAUCUACUUAUAUGAUUUAGCUAUUAUACAUUUUUGGUCCACUUUUGGCUUUAUUAAUAAUCUACCAUGGCAUUCUUAGUUAUGAUAUGCAUUCUAGCAGUACCAGCAGCUCUUCAGAAAAAACUACUUUAUUUUUUGGGUUACAUUCACUAUCUAACCAUAAAGUCAAAAUUAGUGUUUAGAAAAUAAUAGAAUACACCCGUUUAAUCUGAUUUCAGUCUUGUUAUCACAGAUCACAGUCUUUUGUAGCUCAGAUGUGUGCAGAUUUCAGAACUUUUUUGUGUUUAAUCUGAUUAUGAUGAUCAUGAUCAUCAACACUGCUCCACGCUAAUGCUACCUCUUCAUUUCUAACUUUUUUUAACCCCUUUAAUUUGUCUGUUUCUAUUUUUUUUUUAUUCUUUCUCUUUGCCUAACUAGUGUAAUCAACGAGUCAAAUUAGGUUUGAUUUUGGUUAAUAACUACUAAUUAAGGUUACUACUGCUUCUGCAUGUACCACCGAGAAGGAUCAUGUCUUUCUAAUAUUUCAUUUCAUUCCUUUUCAAAAAAGGCAUAUUUAAGUUACAACCUCGAUCUAAAAGAAGGGUAGAGUUCGAUGAAUGAGGAUCCAACCUCAUGUUAUCUGCUCUAAGCUUCUCAUUUUCUGCUCUAAGCUAGCAGUGGUAAAAACAAUGGAGCUCAUAAUGGAUGAUCACACUACUCAUGAAAUUUGAUAUUUUGUAACCAAGUUAUAAAAGAAGUAGAUAUAUGACACUUGUUGGAAUUGCAAUUUUUAUUUACUUGUUAUGACUUUACUUUUUGGUACUUUAUCUUCAAAGUCUACUUUUGUGGUGACAAGUUUUAUAUAUAUGUCUUUUUUUUUAUGGGGAAGUUUAUGUAUAUGUUGGAUUAGUUUAAUAUACAUAAUUAUUUUGGUCUA